GCGGCCUAUCAGCUUGUUGGUGAGGUAAUGGCUCACCAAGGCGACGACGGGUAGCCGGCCUGAGAGGGUGAACGGCCACACUGGGACUGAGACACGGCCCAGACUCCUACGGGAGGCAGCAGUGGGGAAUAUUGCGCAAUGGACGAAAGUCUGACGCAGCGACGCCUCGUGAGGGACGAAGGUCUUCGGAUUGUAAACCUCUUUCAGCAGGGAAGAAGCGAAAGUGACGGUACCUAAAGAAGAAGCACCGGCUAACUAUGUGCCAGCAGCCGCGGUAAUACAUAGGGUGCAAGCGUUGUCCGGAAUUAUUGGGCGUAAAGAGCUCGUAGGUGGUUCGUCACGUCGGAUGUGAAAAUCUGGGGCUUAACCCCAGACCUGCAUUCGAUACGGGCGAGCUAGAGUGUGGUAGGGGAGACUGGAAUUCCU
This 426-nucleotide ribosomal RNA is filed under the name uncultured Actinomycetes bacterium. RNAcentral describes it as "bacterial SSU rRNA". It matches the Rfam family "Bacterial small subunit ribosomal RNA", at positions 233 to 671 of the family's 1533-position model. The record is from RNAcentral. Lineage: Bacteria; Bacillati; Actinomycetota; Actinomycetes.